This 332-nucleotide ribosomal RNA is filed under the name uncultured bacterium. Its description in RNAcentral is "bacterial SSU rRNA". It matches the Rfam family "Bacterial small subunit ribosomal RNA", at positions 568 to 899 of the family's 1533-position model. The record is from RNAcentral.
UGCGUAGGCGGUUUGGUAAGUCUUGUGUGAAAUCUUCGGGCUCAACUCGAAGUCUGCACGAGAAACUGCCGGGCUUGAGUGUGGGAGAGGUGAGUGGAAUUUCCGGUGUAGCGGUGAAAUGCGUAGAUAUCGGAAGGAACACCUGUGGCGAAAGCGGCUCACUGGACCACAACUGACGCUGAGGCACGAAAGCUAGGGGAGCAAACAGGAUUAGAUACCCUGGUAGUCCACGCUGUAAACGAUGGAUACUAGGUGUGGGAGGUAUCGACCCCUUCCGUGCCGCAGUAACGCGAUAAGUAUCCCGCCUGGGGAGUACGGCCGCAAGGUUGAAA